UAAGUUGCUACGAGGAAAGCGGAACUCCCAUCCCCUUCCCCCUGUGCUGGCGCUCCCAGAUCCCGUGGUUGUGAAUCUUCCUAUCAAGGAUGAAACACUGGUGUGAACCCUGUGCUGUCCCCACCAUGUUCCAUAAGGACUUGAUCAUCCCUGCAUAUCGCCACCAGAUCUUUGAAAGAACACAGUCCAUUUUCCCAUAAAGAAACACCAAUAAACACCCCCAGCAAAG
This is a non-coding RNA of Phasianus colchicus (ring-necked pheasant), 229 nucleotides long. The record is from RefSeq and is a predicted model, not a curated record. NCBI's taxonomy places the organism in Eukaryota, Metazoa, Chordata, Aves, Galliformes, Phasianidae.